This is a long non-coding RNA of Neogale vison (American mink), 780 nucleotides long. RefSeq lists it as uncharacterized. Lineage: Eukaryota; Metazoa; Chordata; Mammalia; Carnivora; Mustelidae. The transcript has 7 exons. The record is from RefSeq and is a predicted model, not a curated record.
UGGGGCUCGAUCCCAGCAUGCUAGGAUCAUGACCUGAGCUGAAGGCAGACACUUAACCGACUGAGCCACCCCGAGAACUUUAUCUUCGUGUCCUUGACCAAGAAGCCCAGUUAGUGAUGAGGAGCCACCUCUCAUCCCCCACCUCACCUUGGCAAGUUCUGCAGCCUCCACCCCACCAGGACCACAUCUGUGACCCAGACUAGGACACCAUUGCUCAAGGCUUUGCAUAUGACUUUCUAGAGAAAGCUGAGGAGGAAAUAAAGUGAAGUGCAAAAGAAGAAAAAGCACAAACGAACCAGCACUUCGAUGACCCUCUCGGUGAGCCUGCUGUAAUUCGGUAGCAGGACAUAGAUGGUCGGCCAUGAGAUGACUUUGAUUUAAGCAAAACCAGACAAGGAGAUAAAUGACAUUUUAGCACCAGCCCUUUCAUUAAUGAUUUGGCCUUCACUCAGUGAACCAUAUGAGUGAAUAUGAACCAUAUGAGUGAACCAUAUUAGGUGAACCAUAAGAAAUAUAGCAGCUGUCCAAUAAAUGCAGCCAGGACAACUGGGUCAUCAGCUGUUUUUAAACUUUUGGAAACAAGCAGGGGUGAAAAAUGUCCUUUUGAUGCAGUAUUAAGGGAGACAAGAUAUCCUUUUUAUCUAAGUGGACAGAGAAAUAUAGGAGAAAAGGACUUAAAUUAUCAAUAUGGUGUGAGUUUUGAGUUUCUGAGGAUCUACCCUCAUUUGGAGAAAUACAGGUCUUGAAGCUUGGCAUUUCCUAGCGUGGAGUGGCUGUACC